UGGGGGAUUUUGGACAAUGGGCGAAAGCCUGAUCCAGCAAUGCCGCGUGUGUGAAGAAGGCCUUCGGGUUGUAAAGCACUUUUGUCCGGAAAGAAAACCUCUGGGAUAAUACCCCGGGGGGAUGACGGUACCGGAAGAAUAAGCACCGGCUAACUACGUGCCAGCAGCCGCGGUAAUACGUAGGGUGCAAGCGUUAAUCGGAAUUACUGGGCGUAAAGCGUGCGCAGGCGGUCCGCUAAGACAGAUGUGAAAUCCCCGGGCUUAACCUGGGAACUGCAUUUGUGACUGGCGGGCUAGAGUAUGGCAGAGGGGAGUAGAAUUCCACGUGUAGCAGUGAAAUGCGUAGAGAUGUGGAGGAAUACCGAUGGCGAAGGCAGCCCCCUG
This 384-nucleotide ribosomal RNA is filed under the name uncultured Burkholderia sp. Its description in RNAcentral is "bacterial SSU rRNA". It matches the Rfam family "Bacterial small subunit ribosomal RNA", at positions 355 to 731 of the family's 1533-position model. The record is from RNAcentral. Lineage: Bacteria; Pseudomonadati; Pseudomonadota; Betaproteobacteria; Burkholderiales; Burkholderiaceae.